RNAcentral lists this ribosomal RNA (468 nucleotides) under uncultured bacterium. RNAcentral describes it as "partial 16S ribosomal RNA". It matches the Rfam family "Bacterial small subunit ribosomal RNA", at positions 28 to 507 of the family's 1533-position model. The record is from RNAcentral.
GACGAACGUUGGCGGCGUGCUUAACACAUGCAAGUCGAACGGAAAGGCCCUGCUUUUGUGGGGUGCUCGAGUGGCGAACGGGUGAGUAACACGUGAGUAACCUGCCCUUGACUUUGGGAUAACUUCAGGAAACUGGGGCUAAUACCGGAUAGGAGCUCCUGCUGCAUGGUGGGGGUUGGAAAGUUUCGGCGGUUGGGGAUGGACUCGCGGCUUAUCAGCUUGUUGGUGGGGUAGUGGCUUACCAAGGCUUUGACGGGUAGCCAGCCUGAGAGGGUGACCGGCCACAUUGGGACUGAGAUACGGCCCAGACUCCUACGGGAGGCAGCAGUGGGGAAUAUUGCACAAUGGGCGGAAGCCUGAUGCAGCAACGCCGCGUGCGGGAUGACGGCCUUCGGGUUGUAAACCGCUUUCGCCUGUGACGAAGCGUGAGUGACGGUAAUGGGUAAAGAAGCACCGGCUAACUACGUG